AGCGUGCCAUCCGAACAGCUGCAGCCUGCCCGGAUAGCUGUGCAAGCACCUCUGGUUCUCAAGAUUGCUGGUUUCAACACCCAGAAGCAAGGACAUUUAAAAACCACGUUGUCUGUGGUCUGCCAAAAAUACUCUACCUGUUUUCUCUGUAUGGCUUUAAGCAGUUUCUCAGUGUUUAGUGACUGGAGGAAGAGGCACUGUAUCUGGCGUGAAACCUGUUCUGCUGAUGGACAGCAGGCAUGCUUAAGGCAAAGCACAAUAGUUAAUAUAAACAGCUCUCCCGAAAGAUGGUGUGAAUGAUUCUUAUAUGAAGUAUAGCACGGGAAGCAGCUGAACGGGGCUCCAGCAAAAUCCUGUCCAUAUUUGUCAAACCCAAGCCAGUAUCUUUGUGAGCUGCCACCUUCGUGUCAGGUCUGGGCUCAAACUGGGCAUCCUGAAAAGACAGUGGGGCGAGUAGUUGUGUUUCCAGACUCCGUCUCCUGUCUCUGGCUGCUGUUUCCGAGGAAGUGCUCCUCUCUCUUCACCCUCGGGAGAGAACAGGCAGAUCUGAUUGCUCUGCUCUCUGUUUUUGUCCCGCUCUAGGGAUGAUGCCUCUAGGAGAGGGACGGGUCUGGUUUCCUGUGCUGUUGAGCACUGUGACAGCAAGGAUUUCCUUGUGAUGUUUCCCGUGUAAAUACAUCUCAUCUAAACCCCUGUUUAUCCUUAAAUUGCAACAAGAGGCCCCAGGCAUCUGAAGGAUUUUAAUUUCUGUCAGAUUUUAAUUUAUGAUUUUGUUUUCUUUUGUUCUGAUAUUAUUUGAGUUUCAUCUGCCUUGCCUGCGCUUGCCUGCCAGUCCCGAGCGAACGGCAGAUGGCACCAGCACCCCGUGCGUGCUCAGGCUAAACCAAGACUAACUUCAGCAGAACAUCUUCCAACUUCUAACUGAGCAGGGUGAAAGUGUGAACCAUGCAUCGAGUCUCCCACGCAGCUCUCCGUUCUUGCUUGGGGCUGCAGAAAGCCAUGUAGCCCUUGGUGCGGUUCUUCUUGUGGAUUUACCCUCAGUUCAGACGUGAAGCAGGAGUGAUACAGGCCUUCGGCAAGAUCUGGGCUCCUGAAGCUGAUGGAAGGACUCCCGCAGGUCUUGCUGCAUACCUGCUACAGUAGGUGUUUGCUUGUGCUGAUUAUUUUAGCAUCCUUCGUCUUGCUAAGUAGUUAACUCUUGGAUGGCUGUGAUGAGGAAUGGUUCUGUAACGGUGUCCUGCACGAGUGCACUAAUCGUAAAUGAUGGCAUUUUGCUGGCGGAGGAGCGGCUCCGCGUGCAGGAGCCGGCGUAGGUGCACCGUGAGAGUGCUGAGCACCCGGGCUGUCAUUCCCAGGUGCACGGUCAGCUGCAAGGACUUCACGUUUCCGGGACUAGCAGCUUAGGUGGCUCUUCAAUUCACUUGAGAAAUACCCACCCGGGUAACAUCCCGCGACCCUUUCUGAUUGCCGCUUCUGUGAUUUCUAUAGAGGUGGAGCUACACUCUGUGUGACCUGUUGCUUCUCGCUGCGAUCAGCUGGCCUCAAGGAACCAAGAGAUCUGGCUGGAGUCUCCAUUCUGGUACAGAUGACCUGGGAGGUAUGAAGAUCAUCCACACCAUGUGCGACAUGCAGGAGCAACUGAUGUUUAGCUGUCUAGGAAUCCCCUUGCAUCAAAGCAGCUUGGUGGUAAGUGUUAGGGUGCUGUACAUUUACAGUUCCUGCGGCCCUUUAAAUGCAGGGGUUGAAUUCUGAGAACAUGAUUUAGAGCAAAUACAUGAACUAUACGAAGUUUCUUGCAAGGCAAUUGGGAAGGGACAGCAGACAGGACAAUACCAGGUCAAGUGAAGUUGUGUCCUUCUGUAAUAUCAGAGGAGAUGUUACUAUCUGAAAGAGAUCAUAUAUAUAUUUUAAAGAUAUUUUCCUUUUUAGUUUUCUGAUCAUUAAAUUAAUCAGCCAGUCAAGAGAAGUGGAAUGUGCAAACGAAGAGGAAGCAUUUGCACUAUAUCUGAGCUGUGUCAGCUACUGCUUUUGCCUACUGAUUUGCUCACCUCUUUCUUAAAGACCCUUAUGUUUUCCUCCUGCUAGUAGUGACUUCUUUCUUUGAUCUCUUCCUUGGCCUAUUUGUCUGUCUUGUUUAUGGCUGUCUCUCCCUGAAAACAAGGAUUCUGUUUUCUUUGUGAUCUGCUGAGGCCAUAAUUAGCUCCUCUAAAUUUAUUUUUCCUCUUUCACUGUAAAUUAUUGAAGGUCUAUUAAAACUCUGAUGGGUUGUUUUCUACAUGAAGCAGAUAUUAAUGUAUCUUGGGAGCAGCUACGUGGUUCUUACAAUGAGUGGCAGGUAAAAUAUAUUUUUGUAUUUCUUGUAAUUGUGUAGAACUUUCACACUGCUCCUGGGGAGAAACUUUUUUUUUUUUUUUAAUAGAGUAGCAUAAUUUGUUUAUUUUUAAACCACAAAUAUUUCAGGGACAUUAUGAGCACAUUCUCUUUUCUAAAAACUAGGUAAAGUGAUUGCGUCUGUUCAUGCACUGAGAUAUGAACAAAUGUCAUCUUUCCCUGUCAAUGGUCAUCAAGCACGAACAAUUAAUAUUUCUGUCAUAAGUUACUCUUCACAGACUUCACUAUAACGGAAAACAACUCCUUUGAGUUUAAAGGAUGAAAACUUGGCCAACUGACAGAAACAAGGACAGAAUUUUACUAACAGAGUUGUGGAAUUAAUCUCUGGAGUUGAUGCCAUCUGACGAGGAAUAAGGAAGAACCACAGUUUACUUUGUGCUGAAAUCUUCAGCCUUUUUGGACUUUGCUUGGGGCUGUAGUUAACUCACUUUCUACUGAGGUCAAUGUUAUGCUUAUAUCUGUGAGUCUCCAAGGGUGCAUUUUCACAGCAUCUUAAGAUGAUCUAAGUCAGGGAUGCUGCAGUUCUGCUUCCUCCCUUGUGCCAGCACUGGCACUCAUGGAAUCGUGCAGUGAACGCUUUCAGAAAGCUGAGGCAGCUAAAAGCUAAGCACUUUUUCAUUGUAAGAUUAUUUUUGGCUGUCUCAGUUCUCUUAAGUGGAUCAUUGUGUGUUUGCAGCAAGCAUCAGUGCUGGCACAGAGGAAGAAGCAGGAUCACGCGGCUGGAGGGCAGGACGGCUCUAACCCCAACACAGAUCAGUUUAGAGUACUGGGGAACUACAUCCUGAUAUGAUACCCAAUACAAAACUGUAACCACCAAGUCAGGAAGACUAGAAUAUUCAGUGUUUGCUCUUGCUGCACCUUUACAAAGGCUCCCAGGAUCAGAAUUGGAGGGAAGACUUUACUAGUCUCUCUGACCAAGGGACCAGGCACAGCACUACUGUUUGUCUCUCCUCUUGCCCCUGGUAGUGAGACUUGUGAUCAAGCUGGAGAAGAGAGGUCAAUAAUAGUGAUGUGAUUGCAAGGUUUGGUGCGAAUGUUCCUGGAGGUGUGGAGAACGGAAUAGCACAGACAGGCCUUUGAAAGCUAAGAACUGGGAUAUAAAAGAGGUAAAAUGACCAUUUCAUGUGGAACAGUGUCCUAAAAAAAAAAAAAAAACUUGAAAAGGUCUAUGAAAUUAUCAUCAGAGAUGAGACAAGACGGGCCUGCAAUUCAGGAUCCAGUGUCUGAAAAAGCAAAGAAAUGGAAAGCAAGGAACAGAGCAAAUGGGGAGAUUCCCAAAAUGAAGAGGAAGUAAUGUGACCUGAGCAGGUCCCACAGUAUAUAUGUAUAUACUUAAGAGAGAGGAAGGGUGAGAUGAGGUAAGUGCUCUAAGUAUGGAUGCUUUAACACUUCAUGAGGUUUUGAGGGUUGCAUGCACUUCGGUGUGUUAGAUUAUAUGUGGUCUAUUUAUCAGAAGUAGAUUGUCUUAAUGUCCACACUCAGACUUGUAUCUCAUUGUAGGGAUAAUGAACAAAGGAAGAAGCUACCUGAGGAGGUUGUGAAAUUGCCUUCACUGAAAGCUUUUGAAACAGACUUGGCAGGUACCUGUGAAAGCCACUUAGGGAGGCAGAGGGGGAUGCACCGGGAGAGGGAGCACGGAUGGGUGAGGCUAUGUUCAAGUGCAGCAUCAGUGGCCAGACAUGCAGUACACCAAAUUGUAUCGGUGUCUCUCCUGGACCCACACCUGGGCAGAAAUGGAACAGGGGAAUGAAGUGGAAAGAACAACUGCUAGAAGAGGUUGCUUGUGAUUAUAGGAAUACCACGUGUGAAGGCUAUGUAACUGAAUUAAUUACUAGGGAGUAUUGUAAAUGAAAAGAGAAGAGGACUAGGUUAACAUCUAUUUCAGAAACCUUGUGGUGCAGGCACUAAUAUUCCUGGUAAAACAUGAGCUGCCCUUUUCACCUUCAAGGAAAGAAAACGUGACCACAAAAAUGAUUCUCGGCUCCCAGAUCAUUUGCAAUGUAAACUCCAGUAGGUUUAAAAAUGUUGUUUCUAAUGGAGAAUUCAGUAUGUUGAAAAUCAUGCCACAAAUCUGAGGCUAGUAAUCUUUAAUGUGCUGUAAAAGUAAAGCAUCAAAAGUAAAUGCAUGUGUUAGUGGUUUCAUAGGUUUUGCACACCCUUGAGUUCUAAUUAUUUAUCUUAGAAAAUACCUCCCAAUGGAGCUAAGGAGAGAUGUAAGGGUGAGAAGAGGGUGCAGCAACAGGGUUGGAAAGAGGAUGGAAGGUGUGGGAGGAAACACUAGUAGGCAAAGCAAGAGCGAAGCUGCAGGAGGCAACAGGGACCAGUAGCACAUUGGGAAGGGAAGGAAGAAUGAACACAAAAGAGGGAAGAAGAGCCAGCUAGCUGCAGAGAGGGAGUAGAUGUAAACAGAUUACAAGGGAAUGGGGAAAAAAAAAUCUGAAGGGGGGGAAUCACCCCACCCAUAAAAAUAUGCUGUGUUGCCUUAAAGCCGGGAAAAGUGGGCCAGCCAAGGGAAAUGAAGGUGAAACGCUUGGGCUGGCAAAGGUGAAGGGAAGAGUACAGCCUGAAGGUAAGGGCA
Long non-coding RNA from Dromaius novaehollandiae (emu), 4969 nucleotides. RefSeq lists it as uncharacterized. The record is from RefSeq and is a predicted model, not a curated record. The transcript has 8 exons. NCBI's taxonomy places the organism in Eukaryota, Metazoa, Chordata, Aves, Casuariiformes, Dromaiidae.